Long non-coding RNA from Neoarius graeffei (lesser salmon catfish), 207 nucleotides. RefSeq lists it as uncharacterized. The transcript has 2 exons. NCBI's taxonomy places the organism in Eukaryota, Metazoa, Chordata, Actinopteri, Siluriformes, Ariidae. The record is from RefSeq and is a predicted model, not a curated record.
AACUCCCCUAGCAACGUUGAAGCUGAGGCUCCUUCACCCUCGGAGUUGUCAUCACCCAGUACCUGCGCGGAUGUGACACUACACGAAGAGCCUACCGAUCAGGAGGAAAUUACAGUUUCCUUGAUCCCUGAACCGGUUGUGGAGGACUCCCAGACAUCUGCCACCACCACCAGAACCACCACCAUGGCCAUGGUGCUUGACAAGCAA